RNAcentral lists this ribosomal RNA (500 nucleotides) under uncultured Myrionecta. RNAcentral's name for it is "bacterial SSU rRNA". It matches the Rfam family "Eukaryotic small subunit ribosomal RNA", at positions 1211 to 1797 of the family's 1831-position model. Lineage: Eukaryota; Ciliophora; Litostomatea; Cyclotrichida; Mesodiniidae. The record is from RNAcentral.
AAACUUACCAGGUCAAGACAUGGGCGUGAUUGACAGGCUAAUGACUUUUCUCGAUUCCAUGGAUGGUGGUGCAUGGUCGCACUUAGUUGGUGCAGUGAUUUGUCAGGUUUAUUCCGGUAACGAACGAGACCUCGGCCUUGUAAAUAGCUAUGCUGCUUACAGGGACAUUGGCGGCUACGCCAAGGAAGCUCGAGGCAAUUGCAGAUCUGGAAUGCCCUUAGAUGUCCUGGGUCGCACGCGUGCUACAAUGACGCCACGAACGAGCUUGCGUGAUGAAAGUUACGCAUAAUCAGCAGUCGGCGUCUUAAGGGAUAGUCUCUUGUAACUGUGGGACUCCAACUAGGAAUGUCUCGUAAGCACAAGUCAACAUCUUGUGUUGAUUACGUCCCUGCUCUUUGUACACACCGCCCGUCGCUCCUACCGAUCGAGUGUUUAGGUGAAUUUGAUGGACGUAAGGAAGUCAAAUAAACCUGAGCACUAGAGAAGAGAAGUCGAGAUGU